Molecule: ribosomal RNA, 499 nt
Filed under: Bacillus sp. BPGP4
Lineage: Bacteria; Bacillati; Bacillota; Bacilli; Caryophanales; Bacillaceae
Description: bacterial SSU rRNA
Rfam family: Bacterial small subunit ribosomal RNA
Source: RNAcentral
AUACAUGCAGUCGAGCGGACAGAAGGGAGCUUGCUCCCGGAUGUUAGCGGCGGACGGGUGAGUAACACGUGGGUAACCUGCCUGUAAGACUGGGAUAACUCCGGGAAACCGGAGCUAAUACCGGAUAGUUCCUUGAACCGCAUGGUUCAAGGAUGAAAGACGGUUUCGGCUGUCACUUACAGAUGGACCCGCGGCGCAUUAGCUAGUUGGUGGGGUAAUGGCUCACCAAGGCGACGAUGCGUAGCCGACCUGAGAGGGUGAUCGGCCACACUGGGACUGAGACACGGCCCAGACUCCUACGGGAGGCAGCAGUAGGGAAUCUUCCGCAAUGGACGAAAGUCUGACGGAGCAACGCCGCGUGAGUGAUGAAGGUUUUCGGAUCGUAAAGCUCUGUUGUUAGGGAAAAACAAGUGCGAGAGUAACUGCUCGCACCUUGACGGUACCUAACCAGAAAGCCACGGCUAACUACGUGCCAACACCCGCGGUAAUACGUAUGGGA